This is a non-coding RNA of Thioclava atlantica, 72 nucleotides long. NCBI's taxonomy places the organism in Bacteria, Pseudomonadati, Pseudomonadota, Alphaproteobacteria, Rhodobacterales, Paracoccaceae. The record is from Rfam.
GCUGCUGUAGCUCAGCGGUAGAGCACUCCCUUGGUAAGGGAGAGGUCGAGAGUUCAAGUCUCUCCAGCAGCA